This 79-nucleotide transfer RNA is filed under the name Sphaerodactylus townsendi. Its description in RNAcentral is "tRNA-Ala". The record is from RNAcentral. Lineage: Eukaryota; Metazoa; Chordata; Lepidosauria; Squamata; Sphaerodactylidae.
GGGGGUGGUGGCCCGUGGCUCAGUGGUAGAGUGUCUACUUGGCAUGCAGAAGGUCCUGGGUCCGGUCUUGGCAUCUCCA